RNAcentral lists this ribosomal RNA (912 nucleotides) under uncultured beta proteobacterium. RNAcentral's name for it is "bacterial SSU rRNA". It matches the Rfam family "Bacterial small subunit ribosomal RNA", at positions 8 to 916 of the family's 1533-position model. Lineage: Bacteria; Pseudomonadati; Pseudomonadota; Betaproteobacteria. The record is from RNAcentral.
AGAGUUUGAUCCUGGCUCAGAUUGAACGCUGGCGGAAUGCUUUACACAUGCAAGUCGAACGGCAGCACGGACUUCGGUCUGGUGGCGAGUGGCGAACGGGUGAGUAAUACAUCGGAACGUGCCCAGUCGUGGGGGAUAACGCAGCGAAAGCUGUGCUAAUACCGCAUACGAUCUACGGAUGAAAGCGGGGGAUCGCAAGACCUCGCGCGGACGGAGCGGCCGAUGGCAGAUUAGGUAGUUGGUGGGAUAAAAGCUUACCAAGCCGACGAUCUGUAGCUGGUCUGAGAGGACGACCAGCCACACUGGGACUGAGACACGGCCCAGACUCCUACGGGAGGCAGCAGUGGGGAAUUUUGGACAAUGGGCGCAAGCCUGAUCCAGCCAUGCCGCGUGCAGGAUGAAGGCCUUCGGGUUGUAAACUGCUUUUGUACGGAACGAAAAAGUUCUCUCUAAUACAGGGGGCGAAUGACGGUACCGUAAGAAUAAGCACCGGCUAACUACGUGCCAGCAGCCGCGGUAAUACGUAGGGUGCGAGCGUUAAUCGGAAUUACUGGGCGUAAAGCGUGCGCAGGCGGUGAUGUAAGACAGAUGUGAAAUCCCCGGGCUCAACCUGGGAACUGCAUUUGUGACUGCAUCGCUGGAGUGCGGCAGAGGGGGAUGGAAUUCCGCGUGUAGCAGUGAAAUGCGUAGAUAUGCGGAGGAACACCGAUGGCGAAGGCAAUCCCCUGGGCCUGCACUGACGCUCAUGCACGAAAGCGUGGGGAGCAAACAGGAUUAGAUACCCUGGUAGUCCACGCCCUAAACGAUGUCAACUGGUUGUUGGGCCUUCGCUGGCUCAGUAACGAAGCUAACGCGUGAAGUUGACCGCCUGGGGAGUACGGCCGCAAGGUUAAAACUCAAAGGAAUUGACGG